This 104-nucleotide small nucleolar RNA is filed under the name Ochotona princeps (American pika). RNAcentral describes it as "Small nucleolar RNA SNORA31 (ENSOPRG00000023071.1)". It matches the Rfam family "Small nucleolar RNA SNORA31". Rfam says of the family: ACA31 (SNORA31) belongs to the H/ACA class of snoRNAs which are thought to guide the sites of modification of uridines to pseudouridines. ACA31 is predicted to guide the pseudouridylation of U3713 in 28S rRNA and U218 in 18S rRNA. Lineage: Eukaryota; Metazoa; Chordata; Mammalia; Lagomorpha; Ochotonidae. The record is from RNAcentral.
CUGUUUCCACUGACCUUGAACAAUUCACUGCUGUUCUUUUGGCUUACACUAGGAUGUGAAAGAAAAAUCCCUGUGUGUGGGCCCAACCCUGUGGAAAUACAAGU